Molecule: ribosomal RNA, 514 nt
Filed under: Salmonella enterica subsp. salamae
Lineage: Bacteria; Pseudomonadati; Pseudomonadota; Gammaproteobacteria; Enterobacterales; Enterobacteriaceae
Also listed under: 1 other name
Description: partial 23S ribosomal RNA
Rfam family: Bacterial large subunit ribosomal RNA
Source: RNAcentral
CGAGUCUUAACCGGGCGUUAAGUUGCAGGGUAUAGACCCGAAACCCGGUGAUCUAGCCAUGGGCAGGUUGAAGGUUGGGUAACACUAACUGGAGGACCGAACCGACUAAUGUUGAAAAAUUAGCGGAUGACCUGUGGCUGGGGGUGAAAGGCCAAUCAAACCGGGAGAUAGCUGGUUCUCCCCGAAAGCUAUUUAGGUAGCGCCUCGUGAACUCAUCUCCGGGGGUAGAGCACUGUUUCGGCUAGGGGGCCAUCCCGGCUUACCAACCCGAUGCAAACUGCGAAUACCGGAGAAUGUUAUCACGGGAGACACACGGCGGGUGCUAACGUCCGUCGUGAAGAGGGAAACAACCCAGACCGCCAGCUAAGGUCCCAAAGUCAUGGUUAAGUGGGAAACGAUGUGGGAAGGCCCAGACAGCCAGGAUGUUGGCUUAGAAGCAGCCAUCAUUUAAAGAAAGCGUAAUAGCUCACUGGUCGAGUCGGCCUGCGCGGAAGAUGUAACGGGGCUAAACCAU